GACGAACGCUGGCGGCGUGCCUAAUACAUGCAAGUCGAGCGGAAUGAAGAAGAAGCUUGCUUCUUCUGAUUUUAGCGGCGGACGGGUGAGUAACACGUGGGCAACCUACCUUGUAGAUUGGGAUAACUCCGGGAAACCGGGGCUAAUACCGGAUAAUCCAUUUUGCUUCAUGGCGAGAUGUUGAAAGACGGUUUCGGCUGUCACUAUAAGAUGGGCCCGCGGCGCAUUAGCUAGUUGGUAGGGUAAUGGCCUACCAAGGCGACGAUGCGUAGCCGACCUGAGAGGGUGAUCGGCCACACUGGGACUGAGACACGGCCCAGACUCCUACGGGAGGCAGCAGUAGGGAAUCUUCCACAAUGGACGAAAGUCUGAUGGAGCAACGCCGCGUGAGUGAAGAAGGUUUUCGGAUCGUAAAACUCUGUUGUAAGGGAAGAACACGUACGAGAGUAACUGCUCGUACCUUGACGGUACCUUAUUAGAAAGCCACGGCUAACUACGUG
Molecule: ribosomal RNA, 500 nt
Filed under: uncultured bacterium
Lineage: Bacteria
Description: bacterial SSU rRNA
Rfam family: Bacterial small subunit ribosomal RNA
Source: RNAcentral